UACGUAGGGUGCAAGCGUUGUCCGGAAUUAUUGGGCGUAAAGAGCUCGUAGGCGGUCUGUCACGUCGGGCGUGAAAAUCCAGGGCUUAACCCUGGACCUGCGUUCGAUACGGGCAGACUAGAGUUCGGUAGGGGAGACUGGAAUUCCAGGUGUAGCGGUGAAAUGCGUAGAUAUCUGGAGGAAUACCUAUGGCGAAAGCAGGCUACUGGACCAUCACUGACGCUGAUCUGCGAAAGCUAGGGGAGCAAACAGG
This 253-nucleotide ribosomal RNA is filed under the name uncultured bacterium. RNAcentral describes it as "partial 16S ribosomal RNA". It matches the Rfam family "Bacterial small subunit ribosomal RNA", at positions 524 to 776 of the family's 1533-position model. The record is from RNAcentral.